Molecule: unclassified non-coding RNA, 406 nt
Filed under: soil metagenome
Description: partial contains 5.8S ribosomal RNA, internal transcribed spacer 2, and large subunit ribosomal RNA
Rfam family: 5.8S ribosomal RNA (bases 1-121)
Source: RNAcentral
GAUGAAGAACGUAGCGAAAUGCGAUAAGUAAUGUGAAUUGCAGAAUUCAGUGAAUCGUCGAAACUUUGAACGCACCUUGCGCCCUUUGGCCAUUCCGAAGGGCAUGCCUGUUUGAGUAUCAUGAACACCUCAACUCUUCAUGGUUUUCCAUGAUGAGCUUGGACUUUGGGGGUCUUGCUGGCCUGUGGGUCGGCUCCUCUCAAAUGAAUCAGCUUGCCGGUUUUUGGUGGGCAUCACAGGUGUGAUAACUAUCUACGCUUGUGGUUUUCCACCAGGGUAACCUUCAGCAGUGGAGGUUCACUGGAGCUUACAAAUGUCUCUCCUCUGUGAGGACAGCCCUUUGAAUGUUUGAUCUCAAAUCAGGUAGGACUACCCGCUGAACUUAAGCAUAUCAAUAAGCGGAGGA